CUGUGAUGUUUUGGGAAGGGGGACGGAGAAGGCUAGCCAAGCCAGAUGUUGGUUACUGGUCCAAGCGUUCGAGGCGUUGAGAACCGGCGAAAACGGUUUGAGCUGAGGCGUGAGUGCGAGCUGCUACGGCAGCGAAGUUGGUGACGUCAAGCUUCCAAGAAAAGCCCUAUACCCGUUAAAGCAUCAUGGCCUGUACCCGAAACCGACACAGGUGGGGUGGUAGAGAAUACCGAGGGGCGCGAGGUAACUCUCUCUAAGGAACUCGGCAAAAUGGCCCCGUAACUUCGGGAGAAGGGGUGCCACCGCAAGGUGGUUGCAGUGAAGAGGCCCAGGCGACUGUUUACCAAAAACACAGGUCUCCGCUAAGUCGCAAGACGAUGUAUGGGGGCUGACGCCUGCCCAGUUCCGGAAGGUUAAGGAAGCUGGUCAGCGCAAGCGAAGCUGGCGACCGAAGCCCCGGUGAACGGCGGCCGUAACUAUAACGGUCCUAAGGUAGCGAAAUUCCUUGUCGGGUAAGUUCCGACCCGCACGAAAGGCGUAACGAUCUGGGCGCUGUCUCGGAGAGAGGCUCGGCGAAAUAGAAUUGUCUGUGAAGAUGCGGACUACGUGCACCCGGACAGAAAGACCCUAUGAAGCUUUACUGUAGCUUGGUAUUGUGCCCGGGCUCUGAAUGCGCAGGAUAGGUGGGAGGCUUUGAUCAUCGGCUUGCGGGUCGAUGUGAGCCAACGGUGAGAUACCACUCUUUCAGAGCUAGGGUUCUAACAGUCACCCGUUAUCCGGGGACUGGACAGUAUCAGGUGGGCAGUUUGACUGGGGCGGUCGCCUCCUAAAAGGUAACGGAGGCGCGCAAAGGUCUGCUCAGGCUGGUUGGAAAUCAGCCGACGAGUGUAAAAGCAGAAGCAGGCUUGACUGUGAGACCUACAAGUCGAACAGGGAGGAAACUCGGCUUUAGUGAUCCGACGGUUCUGCGUGGAAGGGCCGUCGCUCAACGGAUAAAAGUUACUCUAAGGAUAACAGGCUGAUCUCCCCCAAGAGUUCACAUCGACGGGGAGGUUUGGCACCUCGAUGUCGGCUCAUCGCAACCUGGGGCUGAAGUCGGUCCCAGGGGUUGGGCUGUUCGCCCAUUAAAGCGGUACGCGAGCUGGGUUCAGAACGUCGUGAGACAGUUCGGUCCAUAUCCGGUGCAUGCGCAGGAAUAUUGAGAGGAGUUCUCCCUAGUACGAGAGGACCGGGAGGAACGCACCUCUGGUGUACCAGUUAUCGUGCCAACGGUAAACGCUGGGUAGCCAUGUGCGGAGAGGAUAACCGCUGAAAGCAUCUAAGUGGGAAGCCCACCUCAAGAUGAGUAUUCCCAUGGCGUUAGCCAGUAAGGUCACGGGAAGAACACCCGUUGAUAGGCUCUAUGUGGAAGCGCAGUAAUGCGUGAAGCAGAGGAGUACUACA
Molecule: ribosomal RNA, 1443 nt
Filed under: metagenome
Description: bacterial LSU rRNA
Rfam family: Bacterial large subunit ribosomal RNA
Source: RNAcentral